UNACACGUGAGUGACCUGCCUUUUAGACUGGAACAACUUACCGAAAGGUGAGCUAAUGCCGGAUGAGUUAUAUAAGUGCAUGUUUAUAUAGGAAAAGUUGGGGAGACCUGACGCUGAGAGAUGGACUCGCGUCCCAUUAGCUAGUUGGUAGGGUAAUGGCCUACCAAGGCGACGAUGGGUAGCCGGCCUGAGAGGGUGGCCGGCCACACUGGGACUGAGACACGGCCCAGACUCCUACGGGAGGCAGCAGUGGGGAAUUUUGCGCAAUGCUCGUAAGAGUGACGCAGCGACGCCGCGUGAAUGACGAAGGCCUUCGGGUCGUAAAGUUCUUUCGACAGGGAAGAAAAUGCCUAUAAGUAACUGUGUAUGUAUUGACGGUACCUGUAUAAGCAGCCCCGGCUAACUCCGUGCCAGCAGCCGCGGUAAUACGGAGGGGGCGAGCGUUGUUCGGAGUGACUGGGCGUAAAGAGCACGUAGGCGGUGUUGUAAGUCAUUAGUCAAAGACUAGAGCUCAACCUUAGUAAGGCUAGUGAUACUAUAAUACUAGAGUAUCAGAGAGGAUUGCAGAAUUCCUGGUGUAGCGGUGAAAUGCGUAGAUAUCAGGAGGAAUACCGUUAGCGAAGGCGGCAAUCUGGCUGGAAACUGACGCUGAGGUGCGAAAGCGUGGGUAGCAAACAGGAUUAGAUACCCUGGUAGUCCACGCUGUAAACGAUGGAUGCUAGGUGU
This 726-nucleotide ribosomal RNA is filed under the name uncultured bacterium. RNAcentral describes it as "bacterial SSU rRNA". It matches the Rfam family "Bacterial small subunit ribosomal RNA", at positions 111 to 823 of the family's 1533-position model. The record is from RNAcentral.